Hordeum vulgare subsp. vulgare (domesticated barley) is the source of this 115-nucleotide non-coding RNA. The record is from Rfam. Lineage: Eukaryota; Viridiplantae; Streptophyta; Magnoliopsida; Poales; Poaceae.
UAUAUACUCUCUCCGUCCGGAAUUACUUGUCGCUUAAACUGAUGUAUCUAGCACUAAAAUACGUCUAGAUACAUCCGUUUGAGCGACAGGUAAUUCCGGACGGAUGAAGUAUUAU